UCCUGAACACAAAAUGGCGACACGUGGUUAGCAUUCGUCGCCAACGAGAAAUUGGGGUCGGCCCGAAAGCUCUAGAAUGCACCCCUCUUCCUCCCCGGGGCCUUCCACCUCCGCGAGUUUUAUGACUUAAAAAAGCCCACAGGCUGGUCUGAAGAGGAAGACAAACAUAAAGAUGAAGUGCUUAAUUCAAGGUCACACAAUGUCGGGGAUGGACCUCCAGAUUUCCUUACUGGUGAGACGUGGUCUUGUAACACAGUGGUUAAGAAUGUGACUUUGGAGCCAGCCUGCUAGGGGCUGAAUUCUGACUCAGCCAUUUACUAACUGUGUGACCUUAGGUGGAGUCUCACUCUGUAGCCCAAGCUGGAGUGGCGUGAUCUCGACUCACUGCAACCUCCGCCUCCUGGGAUCAAGUGAUUCUCGUGCCUCAGCCUCCUGAGUAGCCGGGACUACAGGUCACAGAAUUUUCCACACUCCUUGACAGAGGUGCUUAACCCUUAUCCAUCAGCAUUCUCAGACAGCACCUCCGGUUAGGGACAGUAUCUGACCGUCCGACAUCCCUGCAGCCCCCAUGUGUCACACAGACUCAGCCUCAGGUAGAUGGUUUCCGUAGAUGGUGGCUUUCUUUGGACCCUUGACAUCAACCAGUUACUAUUUGGUCUAGGGGUCUCACCAACGCUGCUCAUCUAGCAGGGCCACACAUAACAAAUAGAAGCAGAGCAAGCCCUGGAACUCCUGCCUGACAGUGACACGACGACAGAAACAUCUUACCAGUCAGAGGACCAUGAGAAAUAGAUUCAAGGAGCAUUCCACGUGCAAGUGAGUCUUGGCCCCAUCUGCCUUUGGAUUUUAGCCGUGAACUGGAAGGUAUUGGAAAGAAGACCCUCAGAAAUAGCUUAAUCAAAAUCCCUGCGUCUGAACCAAGUGCCUUAUUUCUCUGUGGGCCUCAAGCUUCGCUGACAUCUGUGGAGCACACUGUCCUAACAGGAGUGCUGUCUGAUUUCCCAACGCUCUGCAAAACAAACAGCCUGGAAGGGUGGCUGGUGGAAGGUGGUUUUUAGAGAGAGACUUGUAGAUAACAGGAAAGUGAAGGCUGUAAGGAAGGUUGUAAUUAAACAGCACAUGGAAACACAAUCACAUUAUUGUCCCAUUCCAUAGGGAUAAUGAUGACCACUUCAGUGGGAAAAGGAGAGGUUUUAAGUCAUUAGGGACUAUGGGCCACCUUUUAGGAAGAUUUAUUUUCAAAGGUUAAAAUAGUGUUUUGGCAAUUCAAGUUUCAUUUUCAGAAAAUGUAAUUGAUGGGAACCUCAGUGACUCUGGAUGAAUAAGAUGCUGUUGAGUGGCUCUGACUUGGGCCAGCCGUGCUUCUCACAGGACCUUGGAGACCAAGGUCACUGUGAUCUCAGGUUCAGGGGGCAAGUCCUCUCCACACAGCCCUAGUUGGCCUCACAGCUGAAAAUGUCUCCCUUACUGUUGGACUCCUUUGUUCACCCACAUGAGUUUGUGAAUAAAUCCUUUCCAGUCUGAAA
Molecule: long non-coding RNA, 1526 nt
Filed under: Homo sapiens (human)
Lineage: Eukaryota; Metazoa; Chordata; Mammalia; Primates; Hominidae
Description: PCBP1 antisense RNA 1
Source: RNAcentral